AUGGAGUCCUGCGAGAUCGCGCGCCUGCCGGAGGAGCUCGUGUCGGCGGCGCUCUCCCUCACGUCGCCGCGCGACGCCUGCCGCGCCGCGGCGGUCUCCCCGGCCUUCCGCGCAGCCGCCGACUCGGACGCCGUCUGGGCCUGCUUCCUACCGCUGCUCGCCGACCAACCGCCGCUCGCUGACGGAGAGGCGCUGCUGGCGUGCGGGAAGAAGGACCUGUUCCUCCGCCUCUCCGGCAGCUCCGUCCUCCUCCCAGGCGGACUCAUGAGCAUGUGGCUGGACAGGGAGACCGCCGCCAAGUGCUACAUGGUGGCGGCGAGGGAGCUGUCCAUCGCGUGGCGCGACACACCGCAACACUGGACCUGGAUCCCUCUCGAGGACUCCAGGUUCUCCGACAGUGCUGAACUCAUCUGGGUUUGUUGGUUGGAAAUCCGCGGCAAGAUACACAGCAAGAUGCUGUCCCAAGGCUCAACUUACGCCGUUUACACCGUGUACAAGCUAGCAGAGGAGCCCGACGGGCUCAACUUUCCGGUCAAUGCAUCGGUGAGCGUUGGAGGAAGCAUUCUUGCGUCCAAGGUCUGCCUCCAACGUGACCCGCACAUGAUCCAUCCCGAGGAUGUAGCGCUCCCUCAUCAAAGGGUCGAUGGUUGGAUGGAGCUGGAGUUGGGUGAGCUUGUUUGUGAGGCCGGUGAAGAUGGCGACGUGUCCUUUGGCCUGUCAGAGACUGAAUCUUUGUACUGUAAGAGCGGUCUCAUCUUGCAGGGCAUCGAGAUCAGGUGUAAGAAUUAG
RNAcentral lists this ribosomal RNA (789 nucleotides) under Triticum aestivum (bread wheat). Its description in RNAcentral is "partial small subunit ribosomal RNA". Lineage: Eukaryota; Viridiplantae; Streptophyta; Magnoliopsida; Poales; Poaceae. The record is from RNAcentral.